AACGAACGCUGGCGGCAGGCCUAACACAUGCAAGUCGAACGCCGUAGCAAUACGGAGUGGCAGACGGGUGAGUAACGCGUGGGAACAUACCCCUCGGUUCGGAAUAACUCAGGGAAACUUGAGCUAAUACCGGAUACGUCCGAGGUUUUAAUCGGCCUUGGAGAAAGAUUUAUCGCCGGAGGAUUGGCCCGCGUCUGAUUAGCUUGUUGGUGAGGUAAUGGCUCACCAAGGCGACGAUCAGAGCUGGUCUGAGAGGAUGAUCAGCCA
RNAcentral lists this ribosomal RNA (267 nucleotides) under uncultured bacterium. RNAcentral describes it as "partial 16S ribosomal RNA". It matches the Rfam family "Bacterial small subunit ribosomal RNA", at positions 29 to 310 of the family's 1533-position model. The record is from RNAcentral.